Long non-coding RNA from Ictalurus punctatus (channel catfish), 2007 nucleotides. NCBI's taxonomy places the organism in Eukaryota, Metazoa, Chordata, Actinopteri, Siluriformes, Ictaluridae. The record is from Ensembl.
UUUAUAUUCAUGCGUUCAUUUAUUUUUAUAUUUAUUUAAACUUUUUUUUUUUUAAAUCUUUUUGCAUUUAUUCUUACAUUUCUGUAUCUUGUAUGAUAAGUAGGUGGGUGGUCUUACCAUCGGUUCAUUGUAGAUUGAAGUUUACGCUCGAUUAGUCUUCGUUUGUUUUGGAGUGACAUCGGGUCGUAGUUCUCGUAUAAACUACGGCGGACACAACUUAGCAAACGAAGUGGAGAGCCAUGCAUCAAAUGACUGUGUUAUUUAGAGUAGAGGUGCUUACUGAUGUUUUAGGACAGCUGUAUGCCCGUAUGCAUGUUGAAGUUCAGCCUGAAUUGUUCGGCUCUCUGCAAAAUAUUGCCCUGCAUAUUCAGGAUCUGUGCGAGUCAGAGGGUGCUACGGUUGAACGUCCAUCUUAUUCACUUCACAUAACUUAUCUCUCACUGCGUCAAACUGUCGCAAACACUGCAAAGUUGUUUGGUGUACAUGAAAGAACAAUCCAGCUCCUAGUAGCCUUAUAGCCAAGGGCGGAGAUUUGCAUAUGGAUGGUAGGGACAUAUCCCUAUCAAUAUUUUGGGAGGGCAGAAUUGUCCCUACCAAUAUUUGCGCGAACUCAUUCGUAUUAUCUUUGGAGUGAAGUCAUGUCAAUUCCACAGCAUACUCUCCCAGAAGCUCCAGGAUUUAGGCAUGCUAGCAUUUGAUUGGCUGAAAGGGAUGGGGGCGGGGCUAUCUAAAGGCUCACCUUACGUGCAAAUAUCAAGCUGCCAGUGUAGAGUACAGACACGCAGGCGAGGGCUGAUCGGCUGACAAUGCUAACUGAGUUAUCAAGGCUGUCAGCCCAUACCUCAAGCAUGGGUGAAAAAUGUAGUCUUUCAGAUGACUUUACUCCUUUUGCUCUAUUGCCUGCACGGCACAGCAUACAUAAAGUAUUUUUCCUGUGCCAACACAUUUUGUACUUUGUAGAUAUCAUGCCACCGAAAAAACGAUGAGACAUCAGGAGCUUUUUUCCCCCACCCAAAGAGUAAGUAAUAGUAAACUAACUGUCCAGCAGCCACAUUGAUUUAAAAUGAAAACCUGUUGGCGACCAAACGUCACCGGCCUUGCACUGCGGAAAGUAAUGCCACCUGAUGUUCGUUAACCAUGUUAGCUAGCGUUAACUAGCAAGCUAACCCUGGCUUCUGUCAUCUGCAGGCUAGCAGGUUGCUAGCUGGAACAUAAAAUAGGUGCACAUAUGAAAUUAUGUUGAGUUGAAUUUUAGUCUAGAAAUCCCAUGAAAAUGUCAUCAUUUGAUGAAUGAGUUUGUAUGCAGGAAACGCAGCAGCAGGCUGAAGUAGAGCAGGAUGAAACAGCUGCGUCUUCAGGGUUUCAGUCGUAUUGCUUCGGUUGAAGCAUGUGUAGAGCCCUGACCUCAACCCCACUGAACACCUUUGGGAUGAACUGGAACUGGAGCUUCCUGACAUCAACAUCAGCACCUGAUCUCAACCUCACUAACGCUGUUGUAGCUGAAUGAACACGAGUCCCCACGGCCACGCCCCAAAAUCUAGUGGAAAGCCUUCCCAGAAGAGUGGAGCACGUUAUAACAGCGAAGAGAGAAUACAUCUGGAACAUCUUUUCCAUACUGUGCAUUUAAGUACAGCUCAGCAUGCUUUCCAGCAGAUUAAGUCUCUUCAUUUGAUCGUGAAUCCUCCUGAUCAGGUGUUUGUAAUAACGAAGAUGGAAGGAAUCGAGGGGGAUGGAGGAAGUGAGAUGCCAAAAAGAUCAACGCUUCACAUUUACUUUUUACAUUUAUUCAUUUAGCAGACGCUUUUAUCCAAAGCGACUUACAAAUGAGAAAAUACAAGCAAAGCGAUUAUCAAGCAGAGAACAAUACAAGUAGUGUUACCAUACAAGAUCCAUUAAUUGAGUUUGAGAAGAAGCAAAGUGCGCAGAGUAGAGGUGUAAGUGCAGAUUUUUAAAAAUGUAUUUAUUCAUUUAUUUAUUUAUCAUGGGUUGGUUAGAUGUUCACGGAAG